Molecule: non-coding RNA, 23 nt
Filed under: Arabidopsis thaliana (thale cress)
Lineage: Eukaryota; Viridiplantae; Streptophyta; Magnoliopsida; Brassicales; Brassicaceae
Source: RNAcentral
GCAACAUGGUUGUUGGUUUGAUG